This is a long non-coding RNA of Xiphophorus hellerii (green swordtail), 1208 nucleotides long. RefSeq lists it as uncharacterized. Lineage: Eukaryota; Metazoa; Chordata; Actinopteri; Cyprinodontiformes; Poeciliidae. The record is from RefSeq and is a predicted model, not a curated record. The transcript has 2 exons.
CCUUUAUAUCCCAUAUCUUACAAAGGACUUAAUGUCACACUGCUCUCAGGCAGUAUGACCUCCUGACAAACACGGUGACAUCCUAUUUUUUCUAUCCUUGCUCAUCAACCCUUACCACCCAGACCCACACCGCCUUCUGCUACCCAUCUGUCUCCUCUGCCCCUGAUAACCAAUCCCACCCGCUGCAGCAGAGGGAAACACAAGCCACGCCACCACCUAGCUGUCCUUCCUCCUGUUCUCUCAUCAGCGCCCCCCAACCACCACCAUCUGAAUCACGUGUCUGAAGGUGAACAGCAGCAGUCGAUCCAGCCAUGAAGCCCUUGAUGCACAUCUCAUUUUAUAUUCCUCCUAUACAGUAAACAAUUUCAGACUCUGUAAGGCAAAAAGCUGCAACAGUGAAGGGAUGAAAAGGAACCGCGUGCAAGACGAGGAGGCGGAGUCAGAGAGUGAAAAUCCUUUUCUGAAGGGAUGCUUGCUAAAAUUAGAAAUAUCUAUAAAUGUCUUCCUUGUGUUCUUGACACAUGUUAAAGCUUUUUUUUCUCUAUACAGCAUCAGUGCUGUCCCUUUUGUGCGUGGCUCCUGGUUCCAGCCUAUCACAGCUCUUUGCAGGGAAUUUCCACGGCACAAGCCCCGCCCCUGCUUUGACGCAGAAAGCGGCGUCACAAGCGAUGCCCCCUGCGGCCUUGUGGAAGGACAGCCGCUGCACAGUGCGCCAAGAGGACAUUCUUGAAGGAAAGAGGAAAGAAGCGUGAAGGAAAAAUGGAAAUCUGGUCAUUUAAUGGUAGGAUUUCUAGAACCUCUAUCCAUCUAUUCUCCCCAGCGUUCAGGGUCACCUCAGCAUCCUUCACAGAUCUUUGCUAUUUGCUCUUCUAAUUACUGGCUUCCAUAAUGCCAACCCCUGGAGGAACACACUGUGCCCCAAAGGAUAACUUAUUCCCCUUCACACCACAUACAGCCACAACCAAACGUCCCCACAUCAGUACAUAGUGCGUAAGCACUUUCUGUUCCCUCGUCUCUUUUUGACGCAGUGACCGCAAAAGCAGCACAUUUUAGUAGGGAAAGAGGCUCACACGGACCCAUAAAUCCUCUCCCGCCGCCUUGAAGAUCCGUCUGCAGCGUCACGCCGCCGCAUCAUUCAUCCCCGCGUGCCGCUGCAUCAGAUUAAAAAUUACAACCAGCAUCACCAAAUGGUGAUGAAGCAAAAAAAA